Molecule: non-coding RNA, 29 nt
Filed under: Homo sapiens (human)
Lineage: Eukaryota; Metazoa; Chordata; Mammalia; Primates; Hominidae
Source: RNAcentral
UGUCACAUACAGGCUAAGGGAUUCAGGAC